UUCUCGCCCUCGCGGGUAGAUCUCCCACCCACUGUUAUUGCUACCGUGUUGCUUUGGCGGGCUGCUGGGCCUAGCCCGGCCGCCGGCUCCGGCCGGCGCGCGCCCGCCAGAGGCCCGACAAAUUCUGAUUGUCAGUGUCGUCUGAGUACUAUAUAAUAGUUAAAACUUUCAACAACGGAUCUCUUGGUUCUGGCAUCGAUGAAGAACGCAGCGAAAUGCGAUAAGUAAUGCGAAUUGCAGAAUUCAGUGAGUCAUCGAAUCUUUGAACGCACAUUGCGCCCUGUGGUAUUCCGCAGGGCAUGCCUGUUCGAGCGUCAUUUCAACCCUCAAGCUCUGCUUGGUGUUGGGCCCCGCCCGCUCGCGGCCGGCCCUAAAGACAGUGGCGGCAGCGCCUGGCUCCGAGCGCAGUACAGCUCUCGCUCUGGGGCUAGGCGGUAGCCUGCCAGAACCCCCCUUCUAUGGUUGACCUCGGAUCAGGUAGGGAUAC
Molecule: ribosomal RNA, 487 nt
Filed under: Oidiodendron chlamydosporicum
Lineage: Eukaryota; Fungi; Ascomycota; Leotiomycetes; Myxotrichaceae
Description: eukaryotic LSU rRNA
Rfam family: 5.8S ribosomal RNA (bases 164-317)
Source: RNAcentral